RNAcentral lists this unclassified non-coding RNA (345 nucleotides) under soil metagenome. RNAcentral's name for it is "partial contains 5.8S ribosomal RNA, internal transcribed spacer 2, and large subunit ribosomal RNA". The stretch from base 1 to 120 matches the Rfam family "5.8S ribosomal RNA", at positions 35 to 154 of the family's 154-position model. The record is from RNAcentral.
GAUGAAGAACGCAGCGAAAUGCGAUACGUAAUGUGAAUUGCAGAAUUCAGUGAAUCAUCGAGUCUUUGAACGCACAUUGCGCCCCCUGGUAUUCCGGGGGGCAUGCCUGUCCGAGCGUCAUUGCUGCCCUCAAGCACGGCUUGUGUGUUGGGCCUCCGUGCUCCUCCAGGGGGACGGGCCCGAAAGGCAGCGGCGGCACCGCGUCCGGUCCUCGAGCGUAUGGGGCUUCGUCACCCGCUCUUGUAGGCCCGGCCGGCGCUUGCCGACACAUCAAUCUUUUUUCCAGGUUGACCUCGGAUCAGGUAGGGAUACCCGCUGAACUUAAGCAUAUCAAUAAGCGGAGGA